This 187-nucleotide microRNA precursor is filed under the name Oryza meridionalis. Its description in RNAcentral is "MIR812 microRNA precursor family". It matches the Rfam family "MIR812 microRNA precursor family". Lineage: Eukaryota; Viridiplantae; Streptophyta; Magnoliopsida; Poales; Poaceae. The record is from Rfam by way of RNAcentral.
AAAGACUGUAGUUUUGUAUUAUUUGUGUUUAACGUUUACCAUCUGUCUUAUUUGUAAAAACUUUUAUGAUUAGUAUUUUUAUUGUUAUUAUAUGGUAAAACAUGAAUAAUACUUUAUGUUGAACUAAUUUUUUUAAAUAAGACGAACGAUUAAACGUUGGACGUGAAAACACACGACUACAUUUAAA